GAUGAACGCUAGCGGCAGGCCUAACACAUGCAAGUCGAGGGGUAUAGGGAGCUUGCUUCCUAGAGACCGGCGCACGGGUGCGUAACGCGUAUGCAAUCUACCUUGUACAGGGGAAUAGCCCAGAGAAAUUUGGAUUAAUGCCCCAUAGUAUUAUUAAAUGGCAUCCUUUAAUAAUUAAAGUUCCAACGGUACAAGAUGAGCAUGCGUCCUAUUAGUUAGUUGGUGUGGUAACGGCAUACCAAGACGAUGAUAGGUAGGGGUCCUGAGAGGGAGACUCCCCACACUGGUACUGAGACACGGACCAGACUCCUACGGGAGGCAGCAGUGAGGAAUAUUGGACAAUGGCGCAAGCCUGAUCCAGCCAUGCCGCGUGCAGGAAGACGGUCCUAUGGAUUGUAAACUGCUUUUAUACAGGAAGAAACACUGGUUCGUGAACCAGCUUGACGGUACUGUAAGAAUAAGGAUCGGCUAACUCCGUGCCAGCAGCCG
RNAcentral lists this ribosomal RNA (489 nucleotides) under uncultured bacterium. Its description in RNAcentral is "bacterial SSU rRNA". It matches the Rfam family "Bacterial small subunit ribosomal RNA", at positions 28 to 517 of the family's 1533-position model. The record is from RNAcentral.